ACUCAACCCCUCAUAACCCUAACUUCAAUCGCAUCAAUCUGCCAUUUAAUCCAAGCCUUUAAAAUCCUAAGUUCUAUCUGUUCAAGCUAUCCAAGAUUCAAACGCUACCAUUAAUUCGAUUUUAACAGUUAUUUAAUCAGUUAUUGAAUCAUUUGAAAGUGCCUGCAUCCAGAACAUCUCCACUUUCCAAACGUUAGGCAUCGACGAGACUCACUUGGUCAUGGGACAUAAGCAAAUAUGAUUCAUCUCUGGAAUCAUUAUUUAAAAUGCCAGCCGUUACUCAAAACAAGUCAUGUAAAAGGUGGUUAGGAGGAUGCAAUCAGUUAUGCCAACCAAGUUCCUUAUCAUGGUCUGUUGAGAGCUGAUCUUUUCUUUUUUGGGCGAGCGCAAAUUCAUCUCUUCAACCAUUAUAUAAAACUCUAGCCGUCGUGCUUGGUUUAAGUGGUUUAUAGUUUGUUCAAAUUAAUAUUCUCUUGGUUUAUAGCCGUUACUCAUCUUUAUUUUAGUCUCAUCGUUUCAUAUAGCAUCUCAAUACCCAAAGUUAUUGUGUAUUUAUGUUUGUAAUUUUUAAAUAAAUGUCCCCGUCUUUGAUUUGCACUUACAAGAAAUAUUUAUUAUAUAUUUAAAUUGUUCAACCCGUGUAACACACGGGGAACUAACCUAGUAAUAUCAUAUAUAAAUAUACCCCUUUCUCUUUCACUCUCUCUCCCACACACUUUGAACUCCUCUCUCUCUCUCUCUAAACAAACCAGCACCCACCACCACCAUCAGCCCUACCAACAACCACCGUUAAGCAUCAGAUCUGAAGCCUCGUGUUUCAACCACCGCCGCCGCCAUCACCUUCUGCCACCACCAGCAGCCACCGCCGGCACCCCACUGAAGCUUGUUCAUGUUUCAACCACCGCCGCCGCAAUCACCUCCUGCCACCACCACCAGCCACCGUCGGCACCCCACACCUCCUCUCUCUACAUCCGACGCCCAUGCUACCAACGUUGCAGUUCCUUCUCUUUUAGAUUCGCUGGUGGUCACCCGUUAAGUUCUGAAGAACUAAGUCCGUCGUUGCAAUUUAGUGGAUUUAGGACUGAUUUUAAUUUUGAAAUCUGGUUUUGGAUUAGAUUUUAGUUGUUAAGGAAUUGCUUGUUUGGGUUGAAUGAGCUUAUGAAGUAUUUAUCCUUA
Molecule: long non-coding RNA, 1176 nt
Organism: Helianthus annuus (common sunflower)
Lineage: Eukaryota; Viridiplantae; Streptophyta; Magnoliopsida; Asterales; Asteraceae
Exons: 4
Source: RefSeq, a predicted model, not a curated record